UCUAGUACUACAUUUUUAAAAAACAGCCAUCCUUUUUCUGUGGAUGUUUUCUCUAUUUUACUCCAAUCUACUUCUUUAGUCUCUGUUUCAUACCUUUGUAGUUUGCUUUUUUAAAAUUGUAAACCUUAGCUUUAGUCAUUACUUUUGCGGUUUUAAAAAAUAUUUCAAAUGAGACCAUGUUGUGGUCUGAGUUUGCCAAUGGCUCUCUGACCUCUGUUUUAGUUAUUCUGUCUUCAUUAUUUGAAAAGAUCAAGUCAAGGCAUGCCUCCUCUCUAGUCGGUGCCUUGACAAAUUGCGUUAGGAAGCAGUUAUUUGUCAUUUCCACCAUUUCAAUUUCGUCCGUCGUGCCCCCCAUCGGGUUUUCCCAUUUUAUACGGGGGAAGUUGAAAUCCCCCAUUAGUAUGUCUUCUCCUUUUCUACACGCAUUUCGAAUGUCAUUGUACAACAGAUUAUUUUGCUCAGCGUUUGAAUUUGGCGGUCUAUAGCAUGCUCCUAUUAUGCCCUUUGAAUUUGUGUCCAUUAUUCUGACCCAUAUUGAUUCUGCAUUGUGUUCUUUGUCCUGAUUUAACACCUGGGCUUCAAGACUAUUUCUUAUGUAUAACGCUACCCCUCUGCCUCUUCUGUCCUGCCUGUCUUUCCUUUAUAGUGUGUACCCACUAAUAUUAUAUUUGUCUCCAUCACUCUCAGACAACCAAGUUUCUGUAACACCUAUCACAUCGUAGUUACUUGUUAGUGCAGUAGCUUCAAGUUCUAAUAUUUUGUUUCUGAGACUUCUAGCAUUAAGAUAAAUACAUUUAAUAGUGGUCUUACCUGAGUUGUUGCCCUUGUUUUGAUGUGGUCCCCCUUCUGUUUUUUUGUUUUCUCCCCCCUUCCUUUCUAGUUUAAGUGCUUCUGGACCGCCUGAAGGAUCCUUUCUCCGAGUAGAUUGGUUCCCUUUCUGUUUAAGAGCAGUCCGUCCCACCUGUAUAGAUAGUCCUUGUUGUAGAAAGUGCUCCAAUGUUCAAGAAAGGUGAAGCCUUCCUGUGUGCACCACGAUUUCAGCCAUGCAUUUUGAUUUUGUAUUUCCAGCUGUCCAUAUGGUCCUUUGCAGGGCGCCGGCAGUAUCCCAGAAAAUACCACAGUUUUGGUCUUGUCUUUUAAUUUCCUUCCUAGCUCUCUGAAUUUGUUUUGCAGGGAUCUUGGCCUGUCUCUACCAAUGUUUGUACCAAUGUGGACGACUACUACCGGGUCGUCUCCUGUUCGUUUUAGGAGCCUGUCCACAUUCUCAGUGAUGUGCUUGACUGAGGCUCCUGGAAGGCAGCACACUGUUGUAGUAAGGGGGUCCAAACUGCGAACUGAACUUACUGUGUUUCUCAGUAUGGAGUCCCCAACAAUUAUGACCUCCCUUCUUUUUGCUGCCUGGCCAGCACUGUUUAUAGGGUCCUGGGUGUUUCUUUCAUUCUCUUGAUGUUGGUGUUGGUUUUGGUCAUCUAAAUGUUGAAGUGGCUCAAUGUGGGUGAGUAGGGAAGCCUAUUAGAUUUACUACCAGUAUUUUAAAAAUUUACUCUACUAAACAUUUGAAUGGAUAACUUUUAUAGCAUUAACCUAAAAUGCAGGUAUGUUAGCUCCCUCAAGCCCCUUUCACAUUGGCACUUCUACCCGGGUCUGGACCGGGGUCCUGGCUACCCAGGUCACAAUCCUGUGUAGUGUGAAACCAUGCACCUGGGUCAUACCCGGGUCCCAGCGACCCACCUCAGGAUGUGGGUUGAUACACUUUGACCCGGGUUGAGCGAGACAAAAUGCAUGACGGCCAAUGAAAUAACAAACAGCCACGCCUGUGUGAAGGUUUCACUUCAGCAAGCAACGUUUUUGUUUAUUCAGUUUAGCCAUAUUUUUGUUGCUUGAGACACACCAUGAGCCAGAUUGCAGCAGGGAUGAAGAAACAUUUGCUCUAAUCAACAUUUGGGUCAACAGUUCAAUCCAGAGAAGCUUGGAUGGAAGCGUCUGUAACAAACUGCUUCCAGGGUAUUGAUACGCAAAUUGUGUACUUGUGUCUGUCACCCAGGUCAACCCUGCUUUAUCAAAACCAGUGUGAAAUCGCAUAGACAACCUGCAUGACACCGGGUCCUGACCUGGGUAGGCUCUGACCUGGGUAGAGCAUGCCAGUGUGAAAGGGGCUUUAGUAGAUUUUAAGGAUCUGAAUUGCUGAAUCUACGGUACUGUAGGAAAACUUGUGUAUUAUAAAUGUAUGUGUAUAAUAGGUUUAUAAUAAAUAUAUAUGCAGUCAAAAAAUGUUUAGCAAAUAAUACAAGGAUAUUUCUUAUGUAAUAUUUAUUUUUUUAUUCAUUUAUUUAGUAUUUGUGUAACACUAUGCCUCCUCCUUUCAUAUUUUUUGGUUGCCAAAUGAGGCUGGCUGCAGUUUUGAAGACUGAGUGAAAAUAGCCAGAGAGCAGAGGUGUUAAUAAGGAAGGCGAUCAGAGGAAGAAGAGCAGGGACAAUGGAUUUGAAGACGUCAGUAGUCUUCAUGCACACAGCUAGACAGUGUGUUAUUCUGGUUGGAAUGUUGCUCUGACUCAGCUUUGGCACACAGCGCCGUGGGAUCUUUCAAAUCAAGCACAGUAGUGAAGCAGGUGAUGCUGCAUAUAGGGGAUCAGAUGAUGCUGCGUAUACUACCCUGGCUUAGAAACCUUAUCCAUCCAGACGGCUGACAGCUGCUGAGGAAGCAUUCAACACCACGCUUGGGCAAAUACGGGUAGUGGGCACUUGAAAGGGAGGUGGCGGAUACUGAUGAAACAGACUGAAGUGCAGCAUUAGAUUGUUCCCAAAAUUGCCACUGCCUGCUGUAUCCUGCACAAACCUGUAAACAACAAAAUGAGGUGUUCAGGAAUCAGUGGCUGCCUGUGAGACAGCCAGACAGACAGGGAAGGUUACCAGUGUUACCAAGUAUCACGAAAAAAAAGCGGCACUGCCUUUCAAAACAAGCACAACCAAUGUUAGAGUAUGGGUGUUUAUGCAAGUUCCAACUAGCGACACUCAAACAAGCCAAAUUACGCUUAAUAUAAGUGGUCUUGGCAACUGUGAAAGUUACCUCAGCUGCCAGUUUCAAUUGGACAGCAGCGAUCUGAGGAGGCUCGUGCUGUCAGAGAAUCUCUCCUUUUUUAUAAGUUGGAUUUACUGUUAAAUAUUAAUGAUGCAAACAAA
This is a long non-coding RNA of Acipenser ruthenus (sterlet), 3180 nucleotides long. RefSeq lists it as uncharacterized. The record is from RefSeq and is a predicted model, not a curated record. The transcript has 3 exons. Lineage: Eukaryota; Metazoa; Chordata; Actinopteri; Acipenseriformes; Acipenseridae.